UACAGGGGGUGCAAACGUUGCUCGGAAUCAUUGGGCGUAAAGCGCGCGUAGGCGGUUACUCAAGUCGGAUGUGAAAGCCCUCGGCUUAACUGAGGAAGUGCACCCGAAACUGAGUAGCUAGAGUACUAAAGAGGGUCGCGGAAUUCCCGGUGUAGAGGUGAAAUUCGUAGAUAUCGGGAGGAACACCGGUGGCGAAGGCGGCGACCUGGGUAGAUACUGACGCUGAGGCGCGAAAGCGUGGGGAGCAAACAGG
RNAcentral lists this ribosomal RNA (253 nucleotides) under uncultured bacterium. Its description in RNAcentral is "partial 16S ribosomal RNA". It matches the Rfam family "Bacterial small subunit ribosomal RNA", at positions 524 to 776 of the family's 1533-position model. The record is from RNAcentral.